UACGGAAGGCAGCAGUGGGGAAUAUUGCACAAUGGGCGAAAGCCUGAUGCAGCUAUGCCGCGUGUAUGAAGAAGGCCUUAGGGUUGUAAAGUACUUUCAUUGGGGAGGAAAACAAAACUAAUAAUUUUAUUUCUUGACGUUACCCGAAAAAGAAGCACCGGCUAACUCCGUGCCAGCAGCCGCGGUAAUACGGAGGGUGCUAGCGUUAAUCAGAAUUACUGGGCGUAAAGAGCACGUAGGUGGUUUUUUUAAGUCAGAUGUGAAAUCCCUGGGCUUAACCUAGGAACUGCAUUUUGAAACUGAAAUACUAGAGUAUCGUAGAGGGAGGUAGAAUUCUAGGUGUAGCGGUGAAAUGCGUAGAUAUCUGGAGGAAUACCUGUGGCGAAAGCGGCCUCCUAAACGAAUACUGACACUGAGGUGCGAAAGCGUGGGGAGCAAACAGGGAUUAGAUACC
This 454-nucleotide ribosomal RNA is filed under the name uncultured bacterium. Its description in RNAcentral is "bacterial SSU rRNA". It matches the Rfam family "Bacterial small subunit ribosomal RNA", at positions 340 to 786 of the family's 1533-position model. The record is from RNAcentral.